This 208-nucleotide ribosomal RNA is filed under the name uncultured bacterium. RNAcentral describes it as "partial 16S ribosomal RNA". It matches the Rfam family "Bacterial small subunit ribosomal RNA", at positions 567 to 774 of the family's 1533-position model. The record is from RNAcentral.
UUGCGUAGGUGGCAUAGUAAGUAGAUAGUGAAAGCGUGUGGCUCAACCAUACAUCCAUUAUCUAAACUGCUAAGCUAGAAGAUGAGAGAGGUAGAUGGAAUUCCUGAUGUAGGGGUAAGUAUCCGUAGAUAUCAGGAGGAACACCGAUGGCGUAGGCAGUCUACUGGCUCAUUCUUGACACUAAGGCACGAAAGCGUGGGAGCAAACA